RNAcentral lists this ribosomal RNA (497 nucleotides) under uncultured bacterium. RNAcentral's name for it is "partial 16S ribosomal RNA". It matches the Rfam family "Bacterial small subunit ribosomal RNA", at positions 28 to 507 of the family's 1533-position model. The record is from RNAcentral.
GAUGAACGCUGGCGGCGUGCCUAAUACAUGCAAGUCGAGCGAACGUACGAGAAGCUUGCUUCUCUGAUGUUAGCGGCGGACGGGUGAGUAACACGUGGAUAACCUACCUAUAAGACUGGGAUAACUUCGGGAAACCGUAGCUAAUACCGGAUAAUAUUUUGAACCGCAUGGUUCAAAAGUGAAAGACGGUCUUGCUGUCACUUAUAGAUGGAUCCGCGCUGCAUUAGCUAGUUUGUAAGGUAACGGCUUACCAAGGCAACGAUGCAUAGCCGACCUGAGAGGGUGGACGGGCAAACUGGGAAUGAGGAAGGGUACCGAAUCCGAAGGGAGGCCACAGUAGGGAAUCUUCCGGGAAGGGGCAAAGGCGGAAGGAGGAAAGGCGGGGGAAGGAUGAAGGGUCUCGGAUGGGUAAACUCUGUUAUUAGGGAAGAACAUAUGUGUAAGUAACUGUGCACAUCUUGACGGUACCUAAUCAGAAAGCCACGGCUAACUACGUG